RNA transcript from Populus trichocarpa (black cottonwood), 2181 nucleotides. RefSeq lists it as uncharacterized. The record is from RefSeq and is a predicted model, not a curated record. NCBI's taxonomy places the organism in Eukaryota, Viridiplantae, Streptophyta, Magnoliopsida, Malpighiales, Salicaceae. The transcript is spliced from 3 exons.
GCCCUUACCACAAUCAUUACACGUGUCUGCAUACCCGCAGAGGAUAACACUCCACACGCAUAAUCCUCAACGCAGACGAUUAUACCGCAGUGCAGGCAUUUUUCAAUCUAUUGAGGAAAACCCAUGUUGUUUCUGGGAUUGAUAGCCAUUGCCCUUUGCAUCAGUGUGUUCCAAGGGUUACACUUUAUGGGUAACCCCAACAUAUUUAAAUGAAGAAAUUUAAGGGUUGAAGCUGGAUGGCUUUUUAACACAGGAGGUGGACGCAAGCUCUGAACGUGGCGAGAGUUCGAAAUGAAGAUAUAAUGAUUUUCUUUUUUCAGCUAGAUUUGGCCACUCGAGUUUAGGUUUACUGGCAGUCUUUUGGUUUAGAUGUUUAUAAAACAGUGAAGCAUUUUGUUGUGUCCCCUAGUUUUUGGUGUUUUGUAGUGCUCACAAGCUUUUCUUGGGUUGAUGUAUGGAAUUUGCAUUCUGCUUUGAAUGUGGAACAGUGUGACAGUGCACCACAACUGAGAACCCAGCUUACAGAGCAUGCUGAAUGAGCUCGCUUCUUGGAAGGUUGAAGCUUAGGACGUCAUUAGGCAGCAUGAAGCGAAGAGGGGAUCGUGUUCAAAGAGUGAAGCUCGAGAUAAAGCUACAAGUAUCAUACAACUACGGUGAGUCCCACAUUUUUCUACGCUACAUCUAAUUGGCCUCAAUCCAAAAAAUUAUAGUAGAAAAGGUGUUAAUGAAUCUAAUUUAACAUUUUCCUUCAGGCUUCUCCUCCCUUUUGUUCCCCUUUUUUGUGGGAUUUCUUAUGUUGCAGUUUACUGGCUCAACUAGAAUAUGUUUAGACUGCUUCUGCUUCUUUACUUGCAGUGCAGAUGUCCAGAAUGCAAUUGAGAACGAGAAUUAUGCAGUGGCAGCUGGAUUACGACAUCAAGUUUCAAAACUGGGAAGCAGAGUCUUUUCCUGCAUCUGCUAGAGCUCUGGCAUAUGAAAAUGCACAGUAUGCAUUUUGUUUAGGGCAGAAAGUGAGGCACAAAAUUUUUGGUAUGUAAACUUGGCUUCCACACCAUCAUUUAAACCUUUCAUCUGUUUUCAGUUCCUUUAUGAGGUUCAGUUGCAUUGAAUACGCAGAAAAAGAAUCUGUAGAGAUGCGUUUAUGCAAUGGGAGCACAUCCUUAGAACUGAAUGUUAUAAUUCUGGACUCGGUAAAUGAAUUCUACAGCCGCAGCCGUAUAGAGUCUCUUACGUGAGAAGAAUCAAAGUGCAAAUAUAAAAGAUUAGGAGUUGCUUAUCCUGUUGCGAUGCGUCAACAAUUCGUACUUCACUCUUUUUUAUGUUUCCAUGAUUCUAUUGAGUUUGGAUCUUGGCCUAAUAGCAAACUUCCAUAGCUGCAUGCUAGCUUUUCUUUCCCUGAUGUCUCAGUAGUUCCUGAGGAAAAUUUGGUUGCUCCUGAGAAACCGGAUAUGCAUGGAAAGGUUUGAUCAUCCCUGUACAUCUUUUCUUUUCUACGGGAUGGAGACACCAGGAGAUUUUAUCCUAAUCAAGCAGCUGCGUGAAAAGUACAAUAGGCCUCGUCAGUCAUGAAGUGGCGCCGGUUGAUCAAUAUUGAGUAUCUAUGAUUUUGUAUUUUAAAAAUAUAUUUGAAAAAAAAUUUAAAAAAUUAUUUAUUAUUUAUUUUAAUUAAUUUUUUUAUAUUUUGAGAUUGUUUUAAGGUAUUUAUUUUAAAAAAUAUUAUUUUAAUAUAUUUUUAAAAACUAUUACUAUUUUAAUACCAAAACGACGCCUUAAAUGACGAUAAUGGUGGCGGCGUGCUUAAGCAGGCGAGUGCUGCCUUCUGGUCCACGUGAUUUUGAGAAUGGAGGCAUGGAGCUGAAAAGCUUGUGGAAUUUUUCAAUCUAUCUCAGUCAUGUAUGAUUUGAUGGCGCUAUCUUCACUUGUUCUGCUGGAAAUUUCAGAUGUGAUUUGAUUUAGAUCAUGUGUUAGCAAUAUGGCAUAAUAACUUGUAUGGAAAUUUCAGAUGUGAUGUGAUUUGAUUUAGAUCAUGUGUUCUUCGUAGACAUUAGAGAGUAGAAACAUGUUGUUCUUGUGUUUUUAUUCGUUCACAACCAAAGCUUAGUCCUUGUAGUUUAACUCAACUAGUUAACUAAUCCUUGUAGUUUAACAAACUAUGUUUUUUAUUUUUUAAUAUGCUUGCAA